AUAUAGAAUAAAGUUACCAUAUACUUAUAAGUUUUUAAAUUUGAAUUAAAAUUUUAAAAAAGAAAUUUAUCUUCUUCUUUUUUUGUUAAGUUAUCAUACUUAAUUUGGUUAAUGAUCAUAUUAAUCAUGCUAGGAACUUUUGUUAUCGUUUCUGAUUAUUUAACUACUACUGCGCCUAUGGCAAAAAAAGAAAAAAAAAAUUAUUCCAUAUAACUAUAAAACUCUUUCACAUUUAAAAUCCUAUAAUUAUAGUUCCUUAAAAUAAUAUAGCUAUAUUUGAAUAAAUCGAAUUUCUUUUAAAAGAAAUAUAAUAUAUAGGGUACACGUCUAUAGUUAUUAAGAUAAUAAAAAAGAGUUUAAAAAUCAAAUAAAAGUUUACUUACAUAUAUAAAAGUUUACUUGCAUGCUGGAGAAUGAAACAUCACAAAAAUCAGUCAAUAUUCAAAAAGAUUAUUAUUUUUCCUUUUUGAAGAAUGUUUGUUUGAAGAGUCAACUUGUAUAAAUGGACAUCAAAGAAAUAACAAAACUUUGGCUAUACAAUUGCUAUCAUUAAUUUUAAUUUAGCACCUAUUAGGAAUUGAAGGGUAUAAGCUGAAACCUCUUCAUUUAGAUGCAGUUAAGCCAACAUUACAAGGGUUUAAUAUUUUUUGUUGAAAAAUAACAGUUUGAAUCACUAGAUUAUGUGAAAAGUUAUUUUUCGAAUUCAACAAGAGGACAUUACUUUCUAAUUGAUAGUUUCUAUAGUAAUUUUCAAGUGUAACAAAAAGUAUAUUUUAAAAAAAAACUGGUAUGACAUAAAAUGUAAACAAAUUAUUUCAAAAUGGGAUUAUUUUUAAAAAUAUAAUGUAAUUUUAAAAAUAAAAAGAUAAGAUAUUUUAGAAUUUUGUAGAGUUUUUAAAUUAUUAUAAUAGAAGUCAUAUCAUGGAUAAAAUCAAAAAACCGAAAUCUUAUGAAAUAUUUACAUAAAUAUCCGGCCAGAUUUAUUAUUUACUUUUUCUAGCUAAUACCCAUAGAUGAUAUACUGGCAAUACACGAUUAUACAUAUUAUAUAUGAAUUAUACAUAAAUUACACAUUGUUCAAUUUUUUAAUUUAAGUGGUAAGGCGAGCACUUAUUUAGGUUGAUUAGAUAAAGCCAAAAAAUGGAAGAAUUUCAACUAAUGACUAAAAAUAUAAAUAAAGUUCUUAUGUAGACCAUUUCUAUUUAAACUCAUCCUUUUAUAGCGAAAUAAAUUAUUUUUUUGUAAGAAAAAGAAAGACAUAAAAAUAAGAUAAAAGAAAUAAAUAUAGAAGAAAAUGUAUGAAAAAUCUAAAAACCAGAAAUAAGAGAUGAUAACGAAUUUCUUCUUCUGUUUCAUCAUUAUCAAGCCGAGACCGAGAAGCAUUUAGGCUUCACAGAAGAGAAAUCAAGAAUGAAUUUUUUAUUGCUAUGAAGGUUUUCUACAUCCAUUAAAUAGCAAAACUAAGAAGGAUGGAGGGAAGUCAAAAAAAGCUGACCUAAAAAAAUAAAUCAAGAAAAAGAAGAAGAUAUGUGCAUACCUGUAGCUUGAACAGAGUCAAAAGACUGGAGACGACCUGUAGAAACUGAAGAAACUAAAAAAAGACAAAGAAGAAACCUAUGUAUAUCUUUUAGAAGAGUCAUUAUCAAAAAGAAAAAAAGAGCAACUACAAACUUAAUUAUACUAUAUCUCCACAUUUGAAGGCAUUAUAUUUUUCUCAGAAUAAUUCUUAGCAAGAAUGCAAUUAUUCGCACAUAUAACACUGAUGCACAAAUAACCAAACUUCUCUUUAUCAAUCUUCAGAACUCUAAAAUACAGAAAGUUAGCUUUUAAAACCUUCUUCCUAGUAUGUUGUCUUGCCAUAACCAAAAUUUACUUUUCUGGAUUAUUUGCAUCCAACUUUACUGAAGCACAACUAAAGAUUUUUAAAAUCUUACGAGACAAUUGAUGCCUUUAAGAUUCUCGGAGUGGUGUAUACUUCGAGCUACCAUAAAUCGUUACUCCAUCUAGCUAUCCCAAAAACUAUGCCUAUAAAUAAAUAAAAAAUAGAUCGAAAUUUCAAGGUCAGUCAAUAAAAUUACACACACGAAAGCACAUAAAUCGAUUUCUUAAAAAAGAUACAGAUUAAAACCUAUAAAAGCAAAAGCGUAAUAUGAAAUCCGUCCUAAUUUUACUUUGAUUCUUAUUCCAUUUCUUACUAAAAGGGAUAGCGACUAUGAUCGUACAUCAUUAAAUUUAAAAAGAAGUAAAUCAGUGUUAAUAACUUAUUAUACCUCUCAUUUCACAAACAGUAUGCUCGGAACAAAGGGUUGAACCCGGAUCUUUCAGUGAUGGAUUCCCAUCUUGAAGUUCCAAUGCAAUAUGCAAGCUGAAAUUGUAAGCAUUCACAAACAAAACAAAGGGCUGAACAACAGAAAAGUUACAGAGAGUAAAUAGCAGAGAGAAAAUAGGCAUAAAUGGCGUUGCAAUCAUCCGAGAAGAUGAAAUGUAGAACACUUUACAGAAAGGUGGAAAAAAAAAAAGGCAAGAUGGUGCGGUGGCUAUCAUACCAGAUAUUUACGCAGUUUCCGCGAUGUGAUCUAUUUUGAACUUCUGGAAAUAGAGACACCAUUCAUGUUUUCUAAAUCUUAAGAGAAGACGACGAAUGGGAUAUAACAACCCAAGUCUCUAUUUACAGAAAAGCAACAAAUUGGGUCCUUUAAGAUAUGAGAUAAACCUUACCUGAAAGGCUGAAACCUCCUCAAAAUCUGUGAUAAAUAUUUUUGUCAUGUUUGAGUCUUCUCAGUGAAGUCCCGAAGUCUACUCAACAAAAGCUAACUACAAAUCCAUAUCCAGUUCUAAUAAUAUAUUGAAAAUCUCACUUUGAGAUAGCCGGAUUGGAAAGCUCACUUUGAGAGGGUUAUAAGGUCUGGUCUUUCUUCAGCAUUAAACAAUUAUUCUUAAUUAAUAUGAUAAAUUCAAAACCAUUUACUAAACACGAAAGAAACAAAAACACCCCAAUCAAAACUUUUUGCCACAAAACAUAGAGGUAGGCAGAUGAAGUGUUUAUUGGAUAGGGUUUAUGAUCCUCUAAGUACAAGGGCUUAAGAAUAGUAUUUUACCUUAGUUGAGAUCUUCAGUACUGAAGUUGUCCCUGAUUAUUUGGAUUGCUGAAAUAAAAAAACAAAUGAAGAUAGAUGUGUGCAAAGCAAACUCAAAGGGAAAACCCGCAAAGAAGAACGAAGACCAUGGAAAGAAUAGAGAGGAAGUAGCAAGGAACAAUACGAUCGCUAGAACUCACCGGCAAUGUUUAAGCCGGAGCAAAGCGAGAGAGAAAAGGCGAUGGAACCAAAGAAAAUAGAAAAGACAUAUCUUAACUGAUAAUCACAAACACAUGUUUCCUUAUAAAGUGAUUGAGU
Molecule: long non-coding RNA, 3395 nt
Filed under: Nicotiana tabacum (common tobacco)
Lineage: Eukaryota; Viridiplantae; Streptophyta; Magnoliopsida; Solanales; Solanaceae
Description: long non-coding RNA (NTAB_LNC012342)
Source: RNAcentral